This 89-nucleotide small RNA is filed under the name Pseudomonas sp. 8Z. Lineage: Bacteria; Pseudomonadati; Pseudomonadota; Gammaproteobacteria; Pseudomonadales; Pseudomonadaceae. The record is from RNAcentral.
GUCGCUGCCAAUUCAGCGACCGGGUUUAGCAGCCCGAACAUCUCUAGGCGCACAGGCGCCAACCGUACCGGUAAGCAGGCGCUUUUUUU